GGCAGCGUGGCCGAGUGGUUUAUGGCGCUGGUCUUGUAAUCUGGAGGUCCCGGUUCAAGCCCUCCACCCUGCCA
RNAcentral lists this transfer RNA (74 nucleotides) under Desmophyllum pertusum. Its description in RNAcentral is "tRNA-Thr". It matches the Rfam family "tRNA". Rfam says of the family: Transfer RNA (tRNA) molecules are approximately 80 nucleotides in length. Their secondary structure includes four short double-helical elements and three loops (D, anti-codon, and T loops). Further hydrogen bonds mediate the characteristic L-shaped molecular structure. tRNAs have two regions of fundamental functional importance: the anti-codon, which is responsible for specific mRNA codon recognition, and the 3' end, to which the tRNAs corresponding amino acid is attached (by aminoacyl-tRNA synthetases). tRNAs cope with the degeneracy of the genetic code in two manners: having more than one tRNA (with a specific anti-codon) for a particular amino acid; and 'wobble' base-pairing, i.e. permitting non-standard base-pairing at the 3rd anti-codon position. The record is from RNAcentral. Lineage: Eukaryota; Metazoa; Cnidaria; Anthozoa; Scleractinia; Caryophylliidae.